GAUGAACGCUGGCGGCGUGCCUAAUACAUGCAAGUCGAGCGAACGGACGAGAAGCUUGCUUCUCUGAUGUUAGCGGCGGACGGGUGAGUAACACGUGGAUAACCUACCUAUAAGACUGGGAUAACUUCGGGAAACCGGAGCUAAUACCGGAUGAUAUUUUGAACCGCAUGGUUCAAAAGUGAAAGACGGUCUUGCUGUCACUUAUAGAUGGAUCCGCGCUGCAUUAGCUAGUUGGUAAGGUAACGGCUUACCAAGGCAACGAUGCAUAGCCGACCUGAGAGGGUGAUCGGCCACACUGGAACUGAGACACGGUCCAGACUCCUACGGGAGGCAGCAGUAGGGAAUCUUCCGCAAUGGGCGAAAGCCUGACGGAGCAACGCCGCGUGAGUGAUGAAGGUCUUCGGAUCGUAAAACUCUGUUAUUAGGGAAGAACAUAUGUGUAAGUAACUGUGCACAUCUUGACGGUACCUAAUCAGAACGCCACGGCUAACUACGUG
RNAcentral lists this ribosomal RNA (497 nucleotides) under uncultured bacterium. RNAcentral describes it as "partial 16S ribosomal RNA". It matches the Rfam family "Bacterial small subunit ribosomal RNA", at positions 28 to 507 of the family's 1533-position model. The record is from RNAcentral.